GGAUGAAUGACCUCAGGUUGACAUCGCAAGUCAUCAAAACGAAGACUGCAUGGACAUUGGUGAACAUAUGAAUGAGCCUGCUCAACAUACAGCAAAACCUAAUGUGACUGUUUCCAGUAGUGUUCGUGAAUUGUUGGAAUGCCCUGUAUGCUUAAAUGCUAUGUAUCCACCCAUCCAUCAGUGUUCCAACGGUCACACACUGUGUUCUGGUUGCAAACCUAGGGUUCACAAUCGCUGUCCAACAUGUCGGCAUGAACUUGGUAAUAUCCGAUGUCUUGCGUUGGAGAAGGUUGCUGCAUCUCUUGAACUCCCAUGUAAAUACCAG
This 325-nucleotide unclassified non-coding RNA is filed under the name Hevea brasiliensis (rubber tree). The record is from RNAcentral. Lineage: Eukaryota; Viridiplantae; Streptophyta; Magnoliopsida; Malpighiales; Euphorbiaceae.